GCUGGGCCUGGUGGUGCACGCCUGUAAUCCCAGCACAUCUGGAGGCUGAGGCGGGAGGAUUGUGAGUUCAAAGGGAGCCUUAGCAACUCAGAGAGGCACUUAGCAAUGCAGCGAGACUCUGUCUUUA
RNAcentral lists this small RNA (127 nucleotides) under Marmota monax (woodchuck). The record is from RNAcentral. Lineage: Eukaryota; Metazoa; Chordata; Mammalia; Rodentia; Sciuridae.